This 594-nucleotide long non-coding RNA is filed under the name Rhinopithecus bieti (black snub-nosed monkey). Its description in RNAcentral is "lncRNA (ENSRBIG00000045774.1)". The record is from RNAcentral. Lineage: Eukaryota; Metazoa; Chordata; Mammalia; Primates; Cercopithecidae.
CUGACCUUGGCCUGGAAUUCAAAGGAAAAGCAGCUCAUAAACUUCUAAAGCAAGCAGGAGAUAAAUAUCCUUAGUCAUAAAAGAACAAACGAAGUUUGGGGUGGGGGGACGGGGGAAAAAAAGCAGAACUUUUAUUUUUUUGAAAUACAGUAAAAUGUGUUGCCAAGUUUUUCAGGAAGUGCUAGUGGCCAUUUUGAUGAUGUGAACUAGACUUUAAAACAGAAAGAGGAAAAAUGAAUGUGGUGGACAAGGGCUGCUGACAAUAUCAGAUAGAAUCAGCCAUCCUCACUGCGCUGGACCUAGGCUCUAGGAGACGGUUUGGAAAGGAGAGACGGCAGCUGGGUAAGAGAACAGAAGGCUUGGGAGCCUGGGGGUGGCAUCACAGGAUUUCUCCGCGUCACCUUGGCCGGUGACAUGGUUUCCUGAGCAUGUGCGUCAGCCCUUGGAGAUGUCCAGCGAAUGCUGUAUUCUUCAGAAUUUGGGGAUCUUGCAAAGUGACACCCCUGCAAAUGGCUGGGGAGAAUGAAAUAGGUGAGUAGCCACUUUGUACUUCUUUCUGCAGGGGCAGUGGCUGUGUGAAUUGAAGAUGCAGAC